UACGUAGGGGGCAAGCGUUAUCCGGAUUUACUGGGUGUAAAGGGGGCGCAGACGGCGAUGCAAGCCAGGAGUGAAAGCCCGGGGCCCAACCCCGGGACUGCUCUUGGAACUGCGCGGCUGGAGUGCAGGAGGGGCAGGCGGAAUUCCUGGUGUAGCGGUGAAAUGCGUAGAUAUCAGGAGGAACACCGGUGGCGAAGGCGGCCUGCUGGACUGCAACUGACGUUGAGGCCCGAAAGCGUGGGGAGCAAACAGG
Molecule: ribosomal RNA, 253 nt
Filed under: uncultured bacterium
Lineage: Bacteria
Description: partial 16S ribosomal RNA
Rfam family: Bacterial small subunit ribosomal RNA
Source: RNAcentral